UUCCGGUUGAUCCUGCCGGAGGCGACUGCUAUUGGAGUUCGAUUAAGCCAUGCGAGUAGAAAGAAAUUAGAUUCUUUGCAUACUGCUCAGUAACGCGUGGAUAACCUGCCCUACACUGGGGGAUAAACUCGGGAAACUGAGUAUAAUACCCCAUAGACCACUACGCCUGGAACGGUGAGUGGUUGAAAGCUCAGGCGGUGUAGGAUGGGUCUGCGGCGUAUCAGGUCGUAGGGGGUGUAAUGGACCUCCUAGCCAUCGACGCGUACGGGUUGUGGGAGCAAUAGCCCGGAGACAGAUUCUGAGACACGAAUCCGGACCCUACGGGGUGCAGCAGGCGCGAAAACUUCACACUGCAGGAAACUGUGAUGAGGGAACUCCAAGUGACUGCCCAAUGGGUAGCCUUUUCUUGAAUCUUAAUAGUUCUUGGAAUAAGGGCUGGGAAAGACCGGUGCCAGCCGCCGCGGUAAUACCGGCAGCUCAAGUGGUCGUCGCUUUUAUUGGGCCUAAAACGUCCGUAGCCUGUUUGGUAAAUCUGUGGGUAAAUCAACGAGCUUAACUCGUUGAAUUCCGCAGAGACUGCCAGACUAGGGACCGGGAGAGGUAUGAGGUACUCUGGGGGUAGGGGUAAAAUCCUGUCAUCCUCAGAGGACCACCUGUUGCGAAGGCGUCAUACUGGAACGGAUCCG
This 686-nucleotide ribosomal RNA is filed under the name uncultured euryarchaeote. RNAcentral describes it as "bacterial SSU rRNA". It matches the Rfam family "Archaeal small subunit ribosomal RNA", at positions 1 to 693 of the family's 1478-position model. Lineage: Archaea; Methanobacteriati; Methanobacteriota. The record is from RNAcentral.